Molecule: ribosomal RNA, 733 nt
Filed under: uncultured bacterium
Lineage: Bacteria
Description: bacterial SSU rRNA
Rfam family: Bacterial small subunit ribosomal RNA
Source: RNAcentral
GAAUAAUAAGUUAGCGGCGGACGGGUGCGUAACGCGUGGGUAAUCUGCCCUUGUCACCGGGAUAACACAUCGAAAGGUGUGCUAAUACCGGAUGAAAUACAGACCUGGCAUCGGGACUGUAUCAAAGUCAUGCGGACAAGGAUGAGCCUGCGUCUGAUUAGCUUGUUGGUGGGGUAAAAGCCUACCAAGGCGACGAUCAGUAGCCGACCUGAGAGGGUGAUCGGCCACACUGGAACUGAGACACGGUCCAGACUCCUACGGGAGGCAGCAGUGGGGGAUAUUGCACAAUGGGCGCAAGCCUGAUGCAGCAACGCCGCGUGAGUGAUGAAGGCCUUCGGGUCGUAAAACUCUGUCCUAAGGGAAGAUAAUGACGGUACCUUAGGAGGAAGCCCCGGCUAACUACGUGCCAGCAGCCGCGGUAAUACGUAGGGGGCAAGCGUUAUCCGGAAUUACUGGGCGUAAAGGGUGCGUAGGUGGCCUGACAAGUCAGGGGUCAAAGGCAACGGCUCAACCGUUGUAAGCCCUUGAAACUGUCGGGCUUGAGUUCAGGAGAGGAAAGCGGAAUUCCUAGUGUAGCGGUGAAAUGCGUAGAUAUUAGGAGGAACACCAGUGGCGAAGGCGGCUUUCUGGACUGAUACUGACACUGAGGCACGAAAGCGUGGGGAGCAAACAGGAUUAGAUACCCUGGUAGUCCACGCCGUAAACGAUGAGUACUAGGUGUCGGCCCUAAGGG